Molecule: ribosomal RNA, 500 nt
Filed under: uncultured bacterium
Lineage: Bacteria
Description: partial 16S ribosomal RNA
Rfam family: Bacterial small subunit ribosomal RNA
Source: RNAcentral
AUUGAACGCUGGCGGCAUGCCUUACACAUGCAAGUCGAACGGCAGCACGGGAGCAAUCCUGGUGGCGAGUGGCGAACGGGUGAGUAAUAUAUCGGAACGUGCCCAGUCGUGGGGGAUAACGCAGCGAAAGCUGUGCUAAUACCGCAUACGAUCUAUGGAUGAAGGCGGGGGAUCGCAAGACCUCGCGCGAUUGGAGCGGCCGAUAUCAGAUUAGCUAGUUGGUGGGGUAAGAGCCCACCAAGGCGACGAUCUGUAGCUGGUCUGAGAGGACGGCCAGACACAGUGGAAACUAGCGACCGUCCAGUAUCCUACGGGAGGCGGCAGUGGGGAAUUUGUGACACUGGGUGGAAGCCUGAUCCAGCGAUGCCGCGUGCAGGAUGAAGGCCUUCGGGUUGUAAACUGCUGUUGUACGGAACGACACGGCUCUUUCUAAUAAAGAGGGCUAAUGACGGUACCGUAAGAAUAAGCACCGGCUAACUACGUGCCGGCCGCCGCGGUAA